AGUGAUGUCAUCAUCGCCUUCAUUGUAUUUAGUGAUAACAUAAUCAUUGAGGCGAGCUGGUGGCACGCUUGUUCGACCUGAACGCCGUAAUUGUUCUAUCGGUUCUGCUGGCUGAGGAGAUGGAGGAUCACUAGCUGGUGGUUCAGGUGUUGAGAUAUAUUCCUCGUCUGGCUCUUCUGACUCGAUCAGUAUACCUCUCCCAACAUCAUCUUUCUUUCUACAGCUCCACGCUUCAUCUUCAGUGAACCGAACAUCUCUGCUGACAAUCAAUUGUUUCGUGACUGAUUAUAUAACUUAUAACCCUUCGUGACUUCACUGUACCCAAUAAAGAUACACUUCUGGCUUUN
Molecule: long non-coding RNA, 347 nt
Filed under: Nicotiana benthamiana
Lineage: Eukaryota; Viridiplantae; Streptophyta; Magnoliopsida; Solanales; Solanaceae
Description: long non-coding RNA (NBEN_LNC023433)
Source: RNAcentral